Molecule: long non-coding RNA, 3790 nt
Organism: Dromaius novaehollandiae (emu)
Lineage: Eukaryota; Metazoa; Chordata; Aves; Casuariiformes; Dromaiidae
Exons: 6
Source: RefSeq, a predicted model, not a curated record
GAGUGAGUGCAUUAGAUAGAUUCAUGGAGAUGGAAAAGGCACAGCUCCUCAGCACCAAGCACUCUGUGUGAUCCAGCUGUUAGCACCUCUACCCAGUGCUCCCACUGACGACAGAGGGAGUCCCAGUCCCAGGGUCCCCGACAGACCAGACCGCUCGUGCCGCGCCCCCGCUUCCCGCAGGCAUUCGUCACAGCGUUCAGCACCGCUUGGCCUAGUACUCGAUCCAGCUUUCAGGCCAUGCGCAAAUACUCUGCUCUCAGCCAACUUGAAUUCAUUUCAAGGAAGAUUGCACAAGAAUUCAGCUCUGCUGCUCCAAGCCAGGCCUGCUGGGCUGGCUGUUUUGUUCUCUCGGGCCCCAGUCCUGCCGAAGGACCUGCUGGCACAAACCCCUGAGGUGGGAUUCUUCUCAGCUAGCCACAGAAGCCUGAAAGUUACAUGAGCGAUGCAAGCUAAUCACUCUGGCUCUUCUGAUGGGGGAUGAAGAGGAGGAGGCAUCUCGCCAAAUGUGGCUCAGGAGGAACAAGGUUCCUGGAUGCUGAUGAAAAACAAGCUGCUAUGUGAUAUAUUGCCCAAAAUUCACAGAAGGAAUCAUUGGCACUAGUGAUUUCAGACUCAUCCUGGACCUGAGCUGGAUGACUACACCUGCGUGGUGCAUCCCACUCACUCUUCAUGAAAAAUAAGCCCCACUCGGGAGAUCCUGCUCACAGCCAGGUGGGCUGUGUCUGCAUCCUUCUCUCCUGAAACCAGAUAACCCCGGGAGCAAAGCCAUGCCUUUCCAGGCGCUGAUUCACAGCCUCUGACAACACAUGCCGGCUGGUUCAAGGCAGCGGCAUGCGGAGCCGGCGGCCGCCCCUGCCCAGCGCCGCCCUCCCUGGAGCUGGGACGGGUUAAGGGACCCAGUGCCGUAGCGUGGACCUCCCGGGUCCUCAGCUGCUGCUGGACGACCACUUCAUCAUCCGGCCUCCGUUGCAACGAACCUAACAGAAACUUGCCGUAAAGAAAGAGAAACCAAACCAGAGUGGAAAAGUCAGAAGGCAGCACGAAAGCGUUUAAGUGGACUGCACUGCCGGGUACCAGCUGGCUUUGCUGCCCCUCUGGUUCAUGUCGGGAUCUCCUUUUGCUGCUGUUUAUCAUCUCCUCAAGCUGCCUCUCCAGCAUGAAAGCAAGCAGUGAUCAUUGGAGAUAUUAAUGCAUUAUGGGAAGGGUAACUAAAAUAGCAGCUCUCCUUGAUGCUGAAGAAGUCAUCUUCCUCCAGUCUCCUUAGCACAAAUACUCUUAAUGGAAAAUGAAUCAGCUCUUUUUGGGCUUUGCUCCAGGAGCCCCUCUGACUAAUUCUGCCCCAAACUGCCAGGGCUGACCCUGCACAGUGGUGCAAUCACAGCAGAUAGGACUUGGUCACGUUUGGGUGGAGGCAAGGAAAAACUGUUUUGCAAGCCUGCCCAAAAAUCCUCAUGCUGACUCUGCCAAAACCACACCAAACAUAUGGUAAAUUAAAUAGCUGGCAUGGAGUUGUUUUUGGACUGCAGGAGCAUUUCAGCACUGUGGACUGCUCUUUAGCUGUCUUGAAUUUUAUUUACACUGUUUUAAGUAUCUCCAUAUUUAAGAAAGAGAAGGCAAAGAAGAGGGCAAUGCUGAUCUUUUGUGCUUUGGAUGCUUCUAAAUGCACAUUAUUUUUAUAACUAUGUUAGCAGAGUCCUAAUGCUUGUCCUAUCCCACAGUUAAGAGCAGUAAUGGCAUUGCAGAGGGUUUCACCUCCUCAUUCGGCAAUAGACUCUUGCGGAAGAGCAUAAAGAAGUGUUUUCUGUCUUGCAAGGGGAGCUCUGGCUAUUUCACCAUAUGAAUGUCCCAUACAUGUCAUGGAGCUGAUGAAAUCAUGUGCAGAUCCAUGCUAAUAAAGGCUGUAUUCACAUGGCAGAUUCCUCUGCUAUAUAUCUUCGACCAUAUCUAAGCUGGUAUAACCAUAUCAACAAAUACAUCCACACAGAACUGUAGCAAGGCUGGAGUGAAAGGGAGCUGCCUUGGGCUAAUGCCAGAUGUGUGUGCAGAUGUCUAAAACUUCAUCAGCUACUGCUGUCCACAAAGAUGGACUGCCUAUUACAGACCCAGGCAAUUUUCAGGGCAGCAGUGGAGAUGUUCUGCCCUCCCAGAUGCCACAUGCUGCAUGACUUCCCUCGUGGGGCACUGUGGAUCCACUGGAAAUCUGAGGCUUGAAGUCACAGGAAUAAAUGCUCCUUUCCUCACGUGGUGUUGCUUAUAUGGAUUCAAGUACCCCAAACCAUUUUCAAGUCCUGUCAGGUGAUGUGGAAGAAACAUUACAGAGAAGCAAGAUCUUAAAAAAGAGUGGCCAGAGGUGCCAGAUGUCUUUGGUGAUUCGGGAGGCAGCCUUAGGAACAGCUGCGGUGGAUACAACCACAGAAGGAGGAUGAAAGCAAAACAGCCAAACAGCAGUGAUCAUGGCAAGAAGUGACUUUUCUCAAGAUCUGGGUGUUAUUUUUCCUCCUGGAGCUGCAGUGGCAGCAUGCCAGGAAGGAGACCGUACCUCCGUGUGCAGCAGCCCUUGCCAUUUGGCAGCUUGCCACCGCAGCCUGCACCCGGGAGCUCAGAGCGCAACUGUUCUCCAGCCCUGUUCCAACUCCUAGCUUCUCCCAUUCGUCUGUAAGCUGUGGCCUCCUCACACAACAUUGCAUUUGUGAAGGGCUUUUGUGAGAGAGAAUGAGGAGGCAAAUCCUGCAUAGCUGCUGCCCUGUUCUUGCCACAACCUCUGGCUCCAUUAGCACAUCUUCUCAGGGCUGAGCCAUUGCAUAGGGGGACAGGAUGACCAAAACCCAAAUAAUUUGUUUAUUCAGCAACCUGAUCUAAGCAAAGAUUAUGCAAGACUGAUUAAACAAACUUUUUGGCACAAUCCAGCAACAAGCAUCAAUAAACUCUUUUUCCGCUGCUUUUCUUUUCUGCCAUACAUUCAGUUCAGUGCUCAGCCAGUAAUCUCUAAGCUCACUAAGCUUUCUAAGUCACUAAGCUAAAAAUGAGAACAGCAACAGAAACAAAAGGAAACAUAGAGAGAGAUGACUUAAGUGAGUUUGGAAAUCACUUCUCAUAUGAAACACUCUUUUACUCACAUACACGAAAAGCAUCAAAAUUCCCUACCUCUGAUGUAAACAGCAGAAGGAAAGAGUCAUCUGGAAGGACAGCAUGAUUCAUCCUGAGGACCUGACUAGUAAUAUUCAUCAGUGUUGAAAUUCUCUCUGCAAGAUGACUAUAUGUGAAAGCAGCACCAGUGAAAUCCCAGCUUUGGCCAUGAGAAGUAUCAUUAACUGCUAAGCUGUGUGGUUAGGCUCCAAUGCCACAACCCUUGCUCCUGUGAGUAAUCUUAAGUCAUCCAACCAGUCUCAGUUAAAACAACAGCACAAUUCAGGUAAGACUGCUUUACAUAAGGGCAGCAGCAUCACACCAGAGCACACUCAGCUUUUGCAGUCCUCUUUUGCAGAAGGUGCUUCUGAAUAGAAACAGAAGUUAAAUAGCAAAACAGAAGGUUUUUUCCUUGGUCUUGCAGAAAAACCUUCCUAGGGUUUCCUUUGCUGCCUGAUUUGAACUCUUCCAGAAGACUGGAAAAUUCAGACAAUCUUUCCCUGUAUGCUAAUUGCACUGACCCAAAUGGUAACAGGGCACAAAAGGCCUUGCUGGCUUUAUGCAUUGUUACAAGAUACUUUCGAUUGCAUAUUUGAAUCUGUUUACCUAAUCUUCCAGGCCUUUAGCCAUGAAUAUUAAAUUCCUUGAUCACUAUGCAUUAGGA